UGAAUCCUGAAUACUCCUGACCUGCAAACUGCCAAAACAUCUGCUUUCAUAGAGGUGCUGAUAUCUGCUGAUGGUCAUUUACUUAAAUGCUUUUGAUUAGCAGCACCUGGCUGCUACUUAGCCUCUCAAUUGAAAUGAAAGCAGGUUUUCACACACUGCAUUUUGGCUCAGUUUGUUCAUUUUUUUUAUUUUUUUUUUAAAUUUUGUCUUCAUAUCUCAAACCUUUUAACUGGAAGAGGUUGUCAUAGACUGGCUGUUAUUUAAAAACGCUAGCUCUUACUGUUACUCUUACUUACUCUUAAUGUUAUCCUACAGUCUCAGGUUGUAGCUCGAAAUUCAGAUUUUUGCUUCUAGUUUAGUUUAAAUGCUCGCACUUAGAACUGUGUUAGAAACAGAUGUCUUAAACCGGUUAAAGUUGCAUGACUUUAGUUGUCUGUGCUCUUCAAUCUUCCCUGCAGCCAUGAUGAUGCUGACUCACUCGCUCGUGAGUACAUGAAACACAGAGAGCGUCAGCGAGGGAAAACCCUGACAAAUGGCUCGUUGUCAUCCAGCUGCCUGAAGGACUUUCUUAACAUGCAACACGGAGUAUUGAGAUGAACCAGCACUGUUGCUUCAGCCGUGUUUAUAUAAUCCUCCUUGGUCUGCUUUAGGCUGAGAUGCAGUAUUUGCACUUCACAUUUAUCUUUCAGCUGUAAUAUUUGAAUAAACUAUUCAUUUAUGAAAACUGUGGAGAUGAGCUAUUUAGAAGCAGCAGAUCACAUGUCAACUUUUAUUUUCCACUGUAACUCCAAGUUUGUUUCCUAGGAUGUGUAUUGAGUUUAACUGUUGAUUUUCAUUGCACAGCCACACUUUGUACAAUAUUUUGAAGCUAAAGUACUGUCGCACAUCGGUUCUAAAAGAAAGAGGAGCAGUAAUCCUAAUAAAUGAUGUACACUGUGUUGCCAAAAGUAUCAGCUCAUCUGCCGUCACACACAUUAAGGAACAAACCAAUCUUACUUCAUGGAAUUUUAUACGAUGUUGGCCGAACCUUUGCAGCUAUAACUUCAACUCUUCUGAAAAGGCUUUGUAAAAGAUUUAGAGGUGUUUAUGGGAUUUAUGGGAGUCAAGUUCUUCCACACCAAACUCGGUCAUCCAGCUCCCACAGGGCGAGAGGCAGGGUUCACCCUGAACAGGUCACCAAUCUGACGCAGGGCUAAGACAACCAUUUGCACCGAUGGGCAGUUUAGAAUCUAACCCCACUAACUGCAUGUCUUUGGACUGUGGGAGGAAGCCGGAGUACUCAGAGAGAAAAUAUGAACUCCACCCAGAAAGGUCCCGACCAGAUGGUGGUUUCGAACGCGGGACCUACUUGCUGUGCUCACAUUUUCCUAAAGUUAUUUCUGUUUUCUUUUUAAAUACUUGUUACUUUCACAUUUAUAUGAAACAGCUUCCUUAUCUCAGUCGUACUUCUUUGGUUCAUCAACUUUUUUUUUUAAACACUGGUCUUGUUUCUGAUGGACUACUUCCCGUCACUCGCUGUUAGACGUGACUGUGUGAUAUUUGAGAGGAAGUGUGCACUCACAGUGAGACCGAUCCGAGCUGAACUUUAUCCAUUCUGAAUUUUUCAAAAGAUUUAUACAGUUUGGUCCUCCAGUUUUUUCUUCUCCUUUGCAGCUGUCACUCAUUCAAGUGUGCAGAGAUUAUGUAUCACGUUUGCCCAUCAAGAACGCUCAGCAAGUUUACUUGUUAGUGGUUUAGCCACACAUGGUGUGCCUUUAAAUGGACUUAUAGAGCUCAUCUGUUCCCAGAGAGGAGCGCAUUAAAUUAAUGUCACGAGACUUCCUUUUCAAACUCACUUGCCUCAUGGGAAACGGAAGACUUUGUAUUCUCUGCGUGGCUUUGUGUUAAAAUGACGGUUUCAUUUUCAUCUAAAAUGUAAGUGAAAAAAAAAAUAAACAAAAAAUAAAAUAAAAUGGCCAUUAUGUGAAACUGGUGUCCAGAUUUAGUCCGGUCCUUGUUCAAGGAACCUAACUCAAGGUAUGAAUCAGUGUUGCCCUAGCAUUAUAGACAACUUGCCAAAGAACCAUGUUUAAAUUGUGUCUUUUGGGACUUUGUUACUAGAAGCAAAAACUAAGAAUUUGUUCCUAUUUUUUCAGUUUAAUCAAAGAAAGGUCAAUAUACUAACACAGUUUGACAGACUCCCUUGUCUAAGAAAGACCAGACUGUGCUUCAAUAAAUCGGUGGAUGCAUUUUUCUGCAAAAGAUUUUUUUUAAAUUGAGGGGUGGAUCAAGACUUUUGCAUAGUGUUCUACAGAUUGUGUUCAUGUAUGCAAAAAGGUCUGAGAAAUAUGAGAUUAAAUAUGUGUUUAUACACUCAAACUGUUGCCCCUCAGAAAACAUUAUAUAAAGAUAUAUAAACCAAUGCAUGUUUUUAAAUGCAAUUUGUAUCAUUUAUGUGUUUUCAAUGAUUCAAGGACUUGUUUAAGCUGCACAAGAACCAUAAUUUUAGCUGCGUGUGAAUUAAAUGAGAAGAAAUGGCUUGUUUCUCA
Molecule: long non-coding RNA, 2528 nt
Organism: Astatotilapia calliptera (eastern happy)
Lineage: Eukaryota; Metazoa; Chordata; Actinopteri; Cichliformes; Cichlidae
Source: Ensembl